UAUUAUUUAUUUAUAAUCUGUCACAAAUUUAAAUAGUAAUAUUAUAAUUAAUUGUUGCCAUUGUUUUAGAAGAGUUGAAAAUAAAAAUCUGACCGCCUUGGCUUCGCCUUUGCUUAACACUUCAUCUUCGAAGGACCAGAAUUUCGAGAACAAACCGUAGAAAGAUUAUGCGUAUGCGAAAAAUUGUGGAAAAAAUAGAAAUCUAUCUUUUCGAUAGAGUUCGCGGUUGUAAGAAACAGGAACAUCUUGAACCUAAAAUCUCCGCCUAUCGGAGGCUCUUUAAUGCCCCUGUAAUUUCUUAGACGAGCCCAGCUUGUCCUUCGCCAUCGUCGUCGUCGUCGUCGUCGUCGUAGUAUACGUGUACCUUGAACAAACACACGUAACCAACUGGCUACAACCAACCCGUUUUCCAUCCUGUGUUCCACCGCCUCGUUUGCCGCGCUAACUUUUCAACGCUGUUCUUUAGCCGCACUUAUUUCGCUCGAACUUGAGGCGAACUUUCACACCUUCCCCCCCUCCUCGCACACCAUUUUCAGACUAAUUUUUGCGCCAGAAAAUUAACCGUUCCGUCGAGGAGACUAAAAGUAACGCCGUUCUCUCGUUUCUCACCUCCUAUAAUAAUUCGGUUUAACCAGGGCCAGCUUCCUUCCUAACGAACUCGAGAACGUUUUCCUCCCGCUCUAAAUUCUCUUCGAAUUUUAUACGAAGGAUUUCGGGAUUUUUCAUUUAUAAUCGUUUAAAAAUCGUAGAUUUUCCGCCGCGAUCGAAUCGCGGUAAAGUAAAUGGAGGGAUGAUCGUGAUCAUCCUCUCGCUUAUCCCCCGACGAAGACGCGACUGGCCGAAUAAUGGGAGGCCAUUACCGGGUUAGAACGCAACAAGCUCUCGCCUAUUCGAUCGUUAAUCAGAUUAUUUGCUACCAUCCAACCGCUACUUUGCUCCUCUCCACGGCGCUACGCUUUGCGUCCAAACUAACGAAAUCGUUUACAAGGGCGGCUCUCUCUGAUCGGCUCUCUCGGGUUUGGUAACCUUUCGCCCGAAUAUCCCUCGCUAAAAUCCCCCGGAAUAUCCGUAAUUUAGCUUAGGCUCGAAUAUUUUUAUAGGUCGUCGGUCAGAGCAGGUUGCGAUUCGUUGCGAAAAAACGCUUCUUUGUGCAACGAUUGGUUGUUUCGACUCGAGCGAGUCGAGGAAAGAAAGAAAGGGAGGGGAGGAGUGGAAGCGUAUUGGUGUAUCGGGAUCGUGGACAAAUACCGGUUGGGCGAGACGAAUAAAACGGGCGCUGCCAAUUUAUCCGUCGAAAGGCACGAUUAAUGUUUGAUCGAGACCGAGACUUGCCUUCUCUGGGGAAUUUUUCGCGCAUCCCCCCGAGACUCGAAGGUCUCGCACGAGCUCGCAAUAUCUCUCUCUCUCUUUCUCUUUCUUUCUCUGUGCCUCCACGCGCGGAGAAAUACUUCUCCAUCUCUCCAGAGCGGAACGUGUUCUCCGCCUAGAAAAUAAUUUCUCGAAGGGAUAGUCUGGAAAUGGGUGAGUUAUGUCGUCCAAAGUUUUAUGUUUCCAGCUCUGACUCUCGGCGAACGGUCGGAUCCAGCCUGCAACUUUGCGGGAAGCAAGGAAGGAAGGAAGGAAGGAAGGAAGGAUGGAAGGCGUGGCGAGGCAAGGCGAGGCGAGGCGAGGCGAGGAGAGGAACGAAGAAAAGGGAACGCGGAGAUCGAAUCGACGACGCGUGGCGUUGCGCCUGUUUUUCGUUCGACGAACGAGAAUCGGGGACGACCAAUUAAAACUUACAGCCGGACGUCCCUCGUUAAAACGUUAACGCUUUUUUCCCCAGGUUGGAACAGGUCGACUUCGCGAUAAAUAUCACGCGUCUUUGUUUUUUUUUUCUUUCUUUCUUUUUUAAUCGAUAUAAACGGUGGAAAUUGUCGGAGCGUGAUAAUAAAGGGCGGGAAGAAAGGUUGGCUUUCUGGAAUAAAAUUAUUCCGGUGGUGUGAAUGCCGGUUUCCAAAGAGGAUUAAACGGAAAGGGGGGAGGGGGUUCAAUGAACCGGAAAGGGCCGAAGCUGCGCGAAAAGUGCGACGUAAUCGUGUUUUAUGUAAUGGAACUGAACGCUAGUUUACUCCCAUUUUGCCACGCGCAAGGAGAACUUUUUUCUUUUUUUUUUUUCCGUUCCCAACAGUUAUCGCUCCCGUUGGUUCCAUUAAAAGCGACGAAACGACCCGGAACGGUUGCGAAAUCGUUCGGAUUCGAAACGCCGAUCCAUAAAUCUUUCGCGUAAAUAGUUCCAGUCGUCUAAACAAUCCGUAAACAAGUCCGUGCGAGCGAAAGAUGUCGAAUUUGGAACGCGGGAAUAAAAGCGUGGCUGGACCGAAGUAGCCCCCCCCCUUCCCUCCUGUUUGAAUAGUCGGUGGUUCUCGAAAGCAUCGAGAUUCGAUAAAGGGUUGGACUUGGGACCAAAAAUCGGCCCCUCCCAUAGUAAGCCAGAACCCAGAGGGAUUUGCCGUUGUUUUCGACGUUUUCUAUCUGUACAGGUUCGAACGAGGGUGUUAGAUAUUAGGGGAAAAAAUCGCGUGACGGAAAAAUGUAGAUACAAUGUUUCAUAAAAAAAUGAAACUAAAGAGGUUGGAAAAGCAGAAGCGGCGUUACUGCGACCGAGUUUCAUUAUGCAGCCUCUUAUAGUUGGCGUAACUCCCAUUGGUCGUAAAUAUGAAUUACGGCUGGCCGAAAUAGCUUGGCGCACCUUACCGUACCUCCGCGUACGAAAAAACCCCUUUUCCCGGCCAUUAUUUAUUCGAAAGAGGAGACCAAGUCCGAUGAAUCAAAAUGGCCGUCAACCUUUACCGAGACCACCCUCUCCUCCUUCCCCGGCCCCCUCUUUUUUUCCGGCCAAUAACUGCCAACGGCAAGUUCCACCAGUGACGAGGCAGAAAUUAAACGGGACGCGGAGGCGAAACGGCUGCUAUCGUUUGAACUAACUCCAAACCUCCCCCCUCUUCGUCCUUUCCAACGCUUGUCUAUUUUCUUAAUCUGUCCGGCGAAAACUUCCUCUUCGAUGGCCCGUAUUCUAUUCCGCGAGAUAUCUUUCACCUCGCCUUUUCCCCUGCCCUUUUCUCGAUACACGAAAUAUCGUUUCGAAUUGAGAAAUUAUACGCAGCAAUAUACGAUUACGUAGUGGGUAGAUAGAUAUAUCGGGAUGCCAACUUUAAUCGACGCGUAAUUGGUAAAAAUUGUUGGAAAUUGGAGAGCUAUUAUAAUUUUUCCAUGCAAAAAUAGAAAAAGCGCGGGGAACAUUUUUACGAGUACUUUAAUCGAACCAACAACGCUCUCCGCAAAUUAAUCGACAAGAAAGAUAGCGAGAGAGGAAAAGAGAUAGAGAGAGAGAGAGAAAGAAAAAAAACUAGCAUUAUUGGCAUGCAAGGCCUGUGCAAGAGCAUAAAGAAGGAUUUUAUGUCCGCCAUUUACAGCUUCUCUUUUGUAGAUUUCCUAUUCUUUCUAUUCAAUGAAAUUUCCCUCUCGCUUUUUCCUUUUGUCGUCGAUGGCCCAGAUUCGAAUAACAUCGUUGGGAAAAAGGUAUUCCCGCGAAUAGCAACGGGAACGUACGCGAAUUAUGCUGUCCCGAUAUUGGCUCGGGCGAUGGCAAAAGGAAAAACGUUGUAACGAGGGAAGAGAAAUGAAAAUUUCUCUAUCAACCAUGCAAAAUCAAUUUAUCAAAGAGCCCUGUCAUAAAUAAACUUUAAUUAAUGGGCCACAGUCCGUACCGAGCAAUUGAAAACGAAUUCAGAAGAUAAAACGAAAUUACCUAGAAUUAAUUUACCUAUAUUAAAACGAUUCCUCUAUUUUCUUUGACGAAACGUCGAAUCGUUACACGUAUGUAGACCGACAAAUAACUUCCUUUGUUGGUCACCGCCUAAUUCAAUUUACGGACGGUCAAAGAGCUCGACCAACAAACUAGGAGAAUGAAACGAAAACGAGGAAAAAUUAAUUUAAACUUGUCAUCGAGGGCAUUAAAAGAUCGCGUUCGUAUCGAAAUUACGCUCUUUUUGUUUUAUUUCUUCGAUUCCAUUUGAAAGGAUAAAAAUCGUUUUUUAACCGAUAAAUCGCAAAGUCUGAGAGCAGGUAGAAUCCAAUUAUCGAUAUUUCAAGAGAUCCGCUACCUCGAACUCGUUUCGCUGGUCGGUGGGUUUGGUCACCGCUUGAUUAUGGUUUACAGCGAGAGAGAAACGGUGGCGAACGGUGAAUAUGACAGUAGCUCGCAGGAAUGUUGCGUAUCGAUUUUGAAAAUUAUCAUGCAAGCAAGCUCGUCCUGUAAUAGGUUAAUUACCGAAUCCGAGCCCCUCGUUAACUCCGGUUAAUGUAAAUUAUUUUCGAUUUCGCUGACUUUGCAACCAACGCUCGUUUAUAAAUCGCGUGCAAACUAAUUACAUAUUCUUUGUUCUGACCGCUCGCCAAUUACCACCCAGGAUGCGAUCCAUCCUAUUGUUACAGCUAAUUUUGUAAUUAUUCGUCCAACGAACCAUGCAAAUCACUGUGCCUCCAUUUCAAUCGAAUCUGUUCCAAUAUAUUUUCAUUCUAAUUCGGUUCCUUUUCGACCUCGAUAUCCUGUGCAACUGUGGAUAGGUUAUCUGAAAACGAUAUUGCCAUCUGUUAGAAAAUAAAGCAAACGUUUCACACAUAUGAGUAAAGAAGAGAUCUUAUACCUCUUUCACAAUUCUAAACGUUGCUUAUCGACAAUAGAUACCAUCCAACGGUCCAAAGAUGAUGAUCAUCGUUCUCCACAUAGAAAUAGAUGUAACGUUCAACGAAUUUUUUGCAAAUUAAUCCCGUGAUGAAAAAUAAUGCAUUAUAUAUUUCCGAAAAUAAAAAUAUUUUUCAAA
Molecule: long non-coding RNA, 4865 nt
Organism: Apis cerana (Asiatic honeybee)
Lineage: Eukaryota; Metazoa; Arthropoda; Insecta; Hymenoptera; Apidae
Source: RefSeq, a predicted model, not a curated record